GAGUUUGAUCCUGGCUCAGAACAAACGCUGGCGGCGUGUCUUAAGCAUGCAAGUUGAGCGGCAAGGGGGAGCAAUCCCCCCUAGAGCGGCGGACUGGUGAGUAACACGUGGAUGAUCUACCCGAGGCAUGGGGAUAGUCACUAGAAAUAGUGGGUAAUACCGAAUACGGUGCGCAUCGUGAGGGUGUGCAAGAAAGGUGCUACGGCACCGGCCUAGGAUGAGUCUGCGUCCCAUUAGCUGGUUGGUGAGGUAAGAGCCCACCAAGGCGAUGAUGGGUAGCCGGCCUGAGAGGGUGUACGGCCACACUGGGACUGAGAUACGGCCCAGACUCCUACGGGAGGCAGCAGCUAAGAAUAUUCCGCAAUGGACGAAAGUCUGACGGAGCGACGCCGCGUGGAUGAAGAAGGCCGAAAGGUUGUAAAGUUCUUUUGUUGGGGAAGAAUAACCAUGGGAGGGAAUGCCCGUGGGAUGACAUGAACCGACGAAUAAGCCCCGGCUAACUACGUGCCAGCAGCCGCGGUAACACGUAGGGGGCGAGCGUUGUUCGGAAUUACUGGGCGUAAAGGGCAUGUAGGCGGUCUUGUAAGCUUGGCGUGAAAGACCACGGCUCAACCGUGGGAUUGCGUUGAGAACUGCGAGGCUUGAGUGACGGAGAGGGAGCUAGAAUUCCUGGUGUAGGGGUGGAAUCUGUAGAGAUCAGGAAGAAUACCAAUGGCGAAGGCAAGCUCCUGGCCGAUGACUGACGCUGAGGUGCGAAAGUGUGGGGAUCAAACAGGAUUAGAUACCCUGGUAGUCCACACUGUAAACGAUGUGCACUAGGUGCUGGUACGGAUGUACCAGUGCCGUAGCUAACGUGAUAAGUGCACCGCCUGGGGAGUAUGCUCGCAAGGGUAAACUCAAAGGAAU
RNAcentral lists this ribosomal RNA (906 nucleotides) under bacterium enrichment culture clone 83TP. RNAcentral describes it as "bacterial SSU rRNA". It matches the Rfam family "Bacterial small subunit ribosomal RNA", at positions 9 to 910 of the family's 1533-position model. The record is from RNAcentral.